Lactuca sativa (garden lettuce) is the source of this 4363-nucleotide RNA transcript. It is a transcript of the gene named splicing factor, with no coding region annotated. The record is from RefSeq and is a predicted model, not a curated record. NCBI's taxonomy places the organism in Eukaryota, Viridiplantae, Streptophyta, Magnoliopsida, Asterales, Asteraceae.
UCGUGGUUUUUUGUCUACGCUUCGUCGGAUCAGAUCACCACAAACAAACCCUAUUUGAGGAAGAGUUGAAAUUAUGGAUCCGGUUGAUGCAGAAAUUGCAAAGACACAGGAAGAAAGGAAGAUUAUGGAGGCAGCCCUAGCGCCAAACUCCAUUACUUUUGAUACUGAGCUUUAUGAUGGGAGCAAUCGGUUUCAGGAUUAUAACAGGGAGAUUCCUGCUAAUGAUGAUGAAGAGAACGCUGAUGCCAUGGAUAAUGAGGUUGCUAGGAAAUUAGCUUCUUACACUGCCCCAAGGUCUCUCUUGAAUGAUAUGCCCAGAGGUGGAGAUGAUGAUGAAUCUUUGGGGUUUAAGAAAUCACAGAGGAUUAUCGACAGGGAGGAUGACUACAGAAGAAGAAGGUUGAAUCAGGUCAUCUCACCAGAAAGACACGAUGCUUUUGCAAAUGGUGACAAAACUCCAAAACCUGAAACAAGAACAUAUGCUGAUAUUAUGAGGGAAGCUGCUUUGAAAAGAGAGAAAGAGGAGACAUUGAAGGUGAUUGCUAGGAGGAAAAAGGAAGAGGAAGAGAACAAAGCAGCUGGAAAGGAAAGGGAAAGGGAACCAGCUGCUUCACAGCCAUCUCAAAAGAGAAGAAACAGAUGGGAUCAAAAUCAAGACAAUUCAGAUGCAAAGAAAGCAAAAAGUGGUUCUGAUUGGGAUAUGCCAGACUCAACUCCAGGGAUUGGAAGAUGGGAUGCUACUCCAACUCCGGGUAGAAUCGGCGAUGCCACUCCUUCUUUAUCCCGGAAAAACAGAUGGGAUGAAACUCCUACACCUGGUCGUUUGGCUGAUUCCGAUGCUACCCCUGCUGGUGGGGCCACUCCAGGGGCCACUCCAGCUGGAAUGGCAUGGGAUGCUACUCCAAAGCUCUCUGGCCUUGCUACCCCUACACCAAAACGCCAAAGAUCAAGAUGGGAUGAAACUCCAGCCACCAUGGGAAGUGCUACACCUGGCGGUGCUACACCCGCAGCCGCCUACACACCUGGCGUGACACCUGUCGGUGGGGUCGAACUCGCCACCCCAACUCCCGGAGCUAUAAAUCUCCGUGGCGCCAUCACACCUGAACAGUAUAACUUACUAAGAUGGGAGAAAGAUAUUGAAGACAGGAAUCGCCCUUUAACAGAUGAAGAACUUGACACCAUGUUUCCUCAAGAAGGCUACAAGAUUCUUGAACCUCCACCUUCUUAUGUCCCAAUCAGAACUCCUGCAAGAAAGCUUCUUGCCACCCCAACUCCUCUUGGAACACCUCUGUACUCGAUUCCUGAAGAGAACAGGGGACAACAUUUUGAUGUUCCAAAAGAAAUGCCAGGUGGGCUUCCGUUCAUGAAACCAGAAGAUUAUCAGUAUUUUGGCGCUUUGUUAAACGAAGAAGACGAAGAGGAACUCUCUCCAGAUGAACAGAAAGAGCGAAAGAUCAUGAAACUUCUUCUCAAGGUCAAAAAUGGAACUCCCCCUCAAAGGAAAACCGCUUUGAGGCAGCUCACUGAUAAAGCCCGUGAACUUGGUGCUGGACCUUUGUUCAACCGUAUUCUUCCUUUACUUAUGCAGCCUACUUUGGAAGAUCAAGAGAGACAUUUGCUUGUGAAAGUUAUUGAUAGAGUCCUUUACAAACUCGAUGAACUCGUUCGACCUUAUGUUCACAAGAUUCUUGUUGUGAUUGAACCUUUGUUGAUUGAUGAAGAUUAUUACGCGCGUGUUGAAGGUAGAGAAAUCAUCUCCAAUCUCAGUAAAGCAGCCGGUUUAGCCACCAUGAUUGCUGCAAUGCGUCCGGAUAUCGACAACAUCGAUGAAUAUGUCAGAAACACAACUGCUAGAGCUUUCAGUGUUGUUGCAUCAGCACUUGGCAUCCCUGCUUUGUUACCAUUCUUGAAGGCUGUUUGUCAGAGUAAGAAGUCAUGGCAAGCAAGACACACGGGUAUCAAGAUUGUUCAACAAAUCGCCAUUCUUAUCGGUUGUGCUGUUCUUCCCCACUUAAGGUCUCUAGUUGAGAUCAUAGAACAUGGUCUUAAUGAUGAAAAUCAGAAAGUCAGAACAAUUACUGCUUUGUCCUUAGCUGCUCUAGCCGAGGCUGCUGCUCCCUAUGGUAUUGAAAGCUUUGACUCGGUUCUUAAACCGUUAUGGAAGGGUAUCCGGUCCCACCGUGGUAAAGUCCUAGCUGCUUUCUUGAAGGCAAUUGGGUUUAUCAUCCCUCUAAUGGAUGCUAUUUACGCGAGUUACUACACAAAAGAAGUGAUGGUGAUUUUGAUUCGUGAGUUCCAGUCACCAGAUGAAGAAAUGAAAAAGAUUGUCCUAAAAGUGGUGAAACAGUGUGUGAGUACAGAAGGUGUUGAGGCUGAUUACAUUCGUAGCGAUAUCCUCCCGGAAUUCUUCCGGAACUUUUGGGUCAGACGAAUGGCAUUGGACAGAAGAAACUACAGACAGCUUGUUGACACGACAGUGGAAAUCGCAAACAAAGUUGGUGUUCCCGACAUUGUUGGACGAAUAGUUGAAGACUUGAAAGAUGAAAGCGAGCCUUACAGACGAAUGGUGAUGGAGACAAUUGAAAAAGUUGUAGCAAAUUUGGGUGCUUCCGACAUCGAUCCACGAUUAGAAGAGCUUUUGAUUGAUGGGAUUUUGUAUGCUUUUCAAGAGCAAACAAGCGAUGACGCGAAUGUAAUGCUUAACGGGUUUGGUGCGGUUGUGAACGCGCUUGGUCAACGAGUCAAACCUUAUCUCCCCCAAAUCUGUGGUACCAUAAAAUGGCGUCUAAACAACAAAAGCGCGAAAGUCAGACAACAAGCAGCCGAUUUAAUUUCAAGAAUCGCAGUUGUCAUGAAACAGUGUCAAGAAGAACAACUAAUGGGACAUCUUGGAGUCGUGUUAUAUGAAUAUUUAGGAGAAGAAUACCCUGAAGUUUUGGGGUCUAUCUUGGGCGCGUUAAAAGCAAUUGUGAAUGUUAUCGGUAUGACGAAAAUGACCCCCCCGAUAAAAGACCUUUUGCCACGUUUAACCCCUAUCUUGAAAAAUCGUCAUGAAAAGGUUCAAGAAAACUGUAUCGAUUUAGUCGGACGUAUCGCUGACCGUGGAGCCGAAUUUGUCCCCGCGAGAGAAUGGAUGCGGAUCUGCUUCGAGCUUCUGGAGAUGCUAAAAGCCCACAAAAAAGGAAUCCGUAGAGCCACAGUCAACACAUUCGGCUACAUCGCAAAAGCAAUCGGGCCACAAGACGUGUUAGCAACUCUACUCAACAAUCUCAAAGUCCAAGAGCGACAAAACCGCGUUUGCACCACUGUAGCAAUCGCAAUCGUGGCGGAAACAUGUUCGCCAUUUACGGUUCUCCCCGCGUUGAUGAACGAGUAUCGCGUCCCGGAAUUGAAUGUUCAGAAUGGUGUUUUGAAAUCGUUAUCUUUUCUUUUUGAAUAUAUCGGUGAAAUGGGGAAGGAUUACAUAUACGCGGUGACUCCAUUGCUUGAAGAUGCGUUGAUGGACCGGGAUCUUGUGCACAGACAGACGGCAGCAAGUGCGGUGAAGCACAUGGCGUUGGGGGUAGCGGGGUUGGGGUGUGAGGACGCGUUGGUCCAUUUGUUGAAUUAUGUGUGGCCGAAUAUAUUUGAGACGUCCCCUCAUGUGAUAAAUGCGGUGAUGGAGGCGAUCGAGGGGAUGAGGGUGGCGUUGGGGGCGGCGGUGGUGUUGAAUUACUGUUUGCAGGGGCUGUUUCAUCCGGCCAGGAAGGUGAGGGAGGUGUAUUGGAAGAUUUACAAUUCGUUGUAUAUUGGGGCUCAGGAUGCACUUGUCGCAGCUUAUCCUGUUUUGGAGGAUGAAGGGGAGAAUGUUUACAGUAGGCCCGAGUUGACCAUGUUUAUCUGAGUACCAGAAGCAUUGUUUGAAGGUGGAUCAUCAGUAGUUCUACAUGUCUUGUCAUCUUGAUGAUGAAGAGGUAAGGUAUGGUGUUUGUUUUGCGAGUGGUUAUUUAUCAUGAAGGAUCUUCCUCGUUGAUUCAAAAGUAAAAAAAUAUAUACACAGAAUAUUUGGCCGGCUAUGCAAUUGAUCAACGUUCAAACCUGGACAUGAAGUUUUGAAAUAAAGUAAAUGAAAGGUUCUGCAUGAAGAUUGAAGAUGUCUGCAAACUAAGAAGAUGACAGACAGAACAUGUAGUAUGCGAAUUAGACCCUAAAAUGUAUGCGGAUCUUUUAAAUAUAUGUAUUGGGCUAAAAGAAACUAUUUUUUGGGUAACAAAUAAUUAUUUAUAGUAUAAUUCUACAUGUUACAAAGAACUUAAAAACAUGUUUUUUUUUUGUUGAAUUUUGAUAUGUAAAAAUCAUUCUAUUAUUUAUUAUAUUUAUAUAA